Molecule: transfer RNA, 72 nt
Filed under: Plectosphaerella cucumerina
Lineage: Eukaryota; Fungi; Ascomycota; Sordariomycetes; Glomerellales; Plectosphaerellaceae
Also listed under: 3 other names
Rfam family: tRNA
About the family: Transfer RNA (tRNA) molecules are approximately 80 nucleotides in length. Their secondary structure includes four short double-helical elements and three loops (D, anti-codon, and T loops).
Source: Rfam by way of RNAcentral
UCUCCGAUCGUAUAGUGGCUAGUAUGCCAGCUUGUCACGCUGGAGACCGGGGUUCAAUUCCCCGUCGGAGAG